CAGACUGGCGGAGAACCACGUUGUCACAUUUACGACUGGGUUCAACUUCAUAAGCUCAUCAUCAGGGAUGCAAAACUGAGGCACGGCUUCUUGCUACAGACGAAGUUGACAGAAAACGAGAAGAUCGUGACAAAGCAUCACCUAGCAGCCAGGGCUGCAACAGGCCUGAGAAAUUCUUUCCGUUAGCUCUAAUGCUUCACCCCUCGGGAGUUACAUCUAUGCUCUGUUCCCUGUCACACGGAAUGACUUCUAGCAGGGAACAGGGAUGUUCACAGGAGCACAG
Molecule: long non-coding RNA, 283 nt
Organism: Cryptotermes secundus
Lineage: Eukaryota; Metazoa; Arthropoda; Insecta; Blattodea; Kalotermitidae
Exons: 3
Source: RefSeq, a predicted model, not a curated record